RNAcentral lists this ribosomal RNA (461 nucleotides) under uncultured bacterium. RNAcentral's name for it is "partial 16S ribosomal RNA". It matches the Rfam family "Bacterial small subunit ribosomal RNA", at positions 337 to 795 of the family's 1533-position model. The record is from RNAcentral.
CCCUACGGGUGGCAGCAGUGAGGAAUAUUGGUCAAUGGGCGGGAGCCUGAACCAGCCAAGUCGCGUGAGGGAAGACGGUCCUACGGAUUGUAAACCUCUUUUGCCGGGGAGCAACGGGGUCCUUGCGAGGGCCCGAUGAGAGUACCCGGAGAAAAAGCAUCGGCUAACUCCGUGCCAGCAGCCGCGGUAAUACGGAGGAUGCGAGCGUUAUCCGGAUUUAUUGGGUUUAAAGGGUGCGUAGGCGGGCUGUUAAGUCAGCGGUAAAAUGUCGGGGCUCAACCCCGGUCUGCCGUUGAAACUGGCAGCCUCGAGUGGGCGAGAAGUAUGCGGAAUGCGUGGUGUAGCGGUGAAAUGCGUAGAUAUCAGGAGGAACACCGGCGGCGAAGGCGGCCUGCUGGACCGCGACUGACGUUGAGGCUCGAAAGCGUGGGGAGCGAACAGGAUUAGAUACCCGAGUAGUC